Molecule: ribosomal RNA, 433 nt
Filed under: uncultured bacterium
Lineage: Bacteria
Description: partial 16S ribosomal RNA
Rfam family: Bacterial small subunit ribosomal RNA
Source: RNAcentral
AACGAACGCUGGCGGCAUGCCUAACACAUGCAAGUCGAACGAAGCCUUCGGGCUUAGUGGCGCACGGGUGCGUAACGCGUGGGAAUCUGCCCCUUGCUUCGGAAUAACAGUUAGAAAUGACUGCUAAUACCGGAUGAAGUCUUCGGACCAAAGAUUUAUCGGCAAGGGAUGAGCCCGCGUAGGAUUAGGUAGUUGGUGGGGUAAAGGCCUACCAAGCCGACGAUCCUUAGCUGGUCUGAGAGGAUGAUCAGCCACACUGGGACUGAGACACGGCCCAGACUCCUACGGGAGGCAGCAGUGGGGAAUAUUGGACAAUGGGCGCAAGUCUGAUCCAGCAAUGCCGCGUGAGUGAUGAAGGCCUUAGGGUUGUAAAGCUCUUUUACCAGGGAUGAUAAUGACAGUACCUGGAGAAUAAGCUCCGGCUAACUCCGUG